AGAGUUUGAUUAUGGCUCAGGAUGAACGCUAGCUACAGGCUUAACACAUGCGAGUCGAGGGGCAGCAUUGGAGUAGCAAUACUCAGAUGGCGACCGGCGCACGGGUGAGUAACACGUAUCCAACCUGCCGCUUACUCGGGGAUAGCCUUUCGAAAGAAAGAUUAAUACCCGAUGGUAUAAAGAGUUCGCAUGUUCUCUUUAUUAAAGAAUUUCGGUAAGCGAUGGGGAUGCGUUCCAUUAGAUAGUUGGCGGGGUAACGGCCCACCAAGUCUACGAUGGAUAGGGGUUCUGAGAGGAAGGUCCCCCACAUUGGAACUGAGACACGGUCCAAACUCCUACGGGAGGCAGCAGUGAGGAAUAUUGGUCAAUGGACGAGAGUCUGAACCAGCCAAAGUAGCGUGAAGGAUGACUGCCCUAUGGGUUGUAAACUUCUUUUAUAAGGGAAUAAAGUGAGGGACGUGUCCCUUUUUGUAUGUACCUUAUGAAUAAGGAUCGGCUAACUCCGUGCCAGCCGCGGC
RNAcentral lists this ribosomal RNA (518 nucleotides) under uncultured bacterium. Its description in RNAcentral is "bacterial SSU rRNA". It matches the Rfam family "Bacterial small subunit ribosomal RNA", at positions 8 to 518 of the family's 1533-position model. The record is from RNAcentral.